Molecule: long non-coding RNA, 1213 nt
Organism: Peromyscus californicus insignis
Lineage: Eukaryota; Metazoa; Chordata; Mammalia; Rodentia; Cricetidae
Exons: 3
Source: RefSeq, a predicted model, not a curated record
CAAGCAUGCGCACCUGUUAAUCCCAGAAUUUAGGAGGGUGAGGCAGAAGGAUUGCCAGUUUUAGUCUAGCCGGGACUACACAGCAUGACCCUAUCCAAAAAAGGAAACGGUAAGUGGAGAUGGCCAAAGAGAUGUAGGUGAAAGCCACUCCAAAAGCCUCUGCUCAAGAACUUUUGCUCCCGUACCCUCCCUCCUGUCCUCUGCCCCAUCCUCCCGAGGUGCAGCAGCUGUCGCCGUCCCUGAGAUGACAAGUGUAAGAACAAAGACCACUAAGGCAGGCAGAGAGGCUCAGGGGUCCCUUCUUGGUGACCACUCUGCGCAGUGACUAUGUCUGUGGGGAUUAUGGAGGUGUGAACUUGGUUUUGAGGUAUGAGAGCCACUGCUGGGCAGCCUUCUGUUUGCGGAUAAAAUUAUCCCUACGCAAUCCAUCACCGAUGUUAGCACGUUGGGUUGCCUCCGUGCAGGGCGGUGCGCAUGCAGAGUGAGGAAUGUGUUGUUGCGAAGCGCCUACCUGGGACCACAGGAAACAGGAGGUCCCAGGAAACAGGAGGCAGAGCCAUCGAGGGUCUGGGCUGCGCAUGCGUCAGCACAGGUGGCGACCUCCCUAAGAGAGGCGUGCCUUCCAGAAGCAGCCAGUCCUGCAUGGUACAUCUCCCCCCACCCCACAAGCUAACAGAUGGAAAGAAACUACACAUUUCAACCCCUGAUGGAAACCAGACCUUUAAGUUUAUGGUAAGCCAACAGGAGGUGACCAGGACUGGGGAGGUGUGGACCAGAGGGUGGGACACACACACAUCAUAUACACCACACACAUAAUUAUACACACACACACAGCCACCCAGUAUUGCCCAACCAUGAACCACAUGGAACUUCUAAACCUGGGAUGACAGAUGGCCUUCUCACCUGGCUCUCUGCUCCUGUGUCUGCGGCUGAGGACUCUGGUGUCUCAGGGCACAUGCGCAGGUAUUCGGGAUGCCCACUACACUGUGUCGACCUCUACCAGCGCAGCAAAUGUCCGGUAACUCUGCUUCACUUUGACACCUCGGCUCAAUCUUCCUCUCUCUCCUGUGUGUUCACCUAAACUGCUGCUGCCAACCUCAGGUAGGAUCCAGGUCAAGUUCCACUGACCGUUGCUGUGACCAAAUGCACAGACAGCUGAGGACGGGGAGGCAUCUACCUCAAGAGCAGCCUACACUGGGUGCAGUGCAGUGAU